ACCUGGAUGGCUCAGUCAGUUGAGCACCCGACUUUAGCUCAGGUCAUGAUCUCACAGUUCGUGGGUUCGAGCCCCACUCUGGGCC
Molecule: transfer RNA, 85 nt
Filed under: Felis catus (domestic cat)
Lineage: Eukaryota; Metazoa; Chordata; Mammalia; Carnivora; Felidae
Rfam family: tRNA
About the family: Transfer RNA (tRNA) molecules are approximately 80 nucleotides in length.
Source: Rfam by way of RNAcentral